This 261-nucleotide ribosomal RNA is filed under the name uncultured bacterium. Its description in RNAcentral is "partial 16S ribosomal RNA". It matches the Rfam family "Bacterial small subunit ribosomal RNA", at positions 92 to 354 of the family's 1533-position model. The record is from RNAcentral.
UGAGUGGCGACGGGUGAGUAACGCGUGGGCAACCUGGCCUGUACAGGGGGAUAACACUUAGAAAUAGGUGCUAAUACCGCAUAACGGGGGAANCCGCAUGGCUUUUCCUGAAAACUCCGGUGGUACAGGAUGGGCCCGCGUCUGAUUAGCCAGUUGGCAGGGUAACGGCCUACCAAAGCGACGAUCAGUAGCCGGCCUGGAGAGGGCGGACGGCCACCACUGGGACUGAGACACGGCCCAGACUCCUACGGAAGGCAGCAG